CCUACGGGAGGCAGCAGUGGGGAAUAUUGGACAAUGGGGGGAACCCUGAUCCAGCCAUGCCACGUGUGUGAAGAAGGCCCUCGGGUUGUAAAGCACUUUCAGUGAGGAAGAACGCCUGGUGGUUAAUACCCAUCAGGAAAGACAUCACUUACAGAAGAAGCACCGGCUAACUCCGUGCCAGCAGCCGCGGUAAUACGGAGGGUGCGAGCGUUAAUCGGAAUUACUGGGCGUAAAGCGCGCGUAGGUGGCUUGAUAAGCCGGUUGUGAAAGCCCCGGGCUCAACCUGGGAACGGCAUCCGGAACUGUCAAGCUAGAGUGCAGGAGAGGAAGGUAGAAUUCCCGGUGUAGCGGUGAAAUGCGUAGAGAUCGGGAGGAAUACCAGUGGCGAAGGCGGCCUUCUGGACUGACACUGACACUGAGGUGCGAAAGCGUGGGUAGCAAACAGGAUUAGAUACCCUAGUAGUC
Molecule: ribosomal RNA, 465 nt
Filed under: Vreelandella stevensii
Lineage: Bacteria; Pseudomonadati; Pseudomonadota; Gammaproteobacteria; Oceanospirillales; Halomonadaceae
Description: partial 16S ribosomal RNA
Rfam family: Bacterial small subunit ribosomal RNA
Source: RNAcentral